Molecule: ribosomal RNA, 949 nt
Filed under: Bacillaceae bacterium
Lineage: Bacteria; Bacillati; Bacillota; Bacilli; Caryophanales; Bacillaceae
Description: bacterial SSU rRNA
Rfam family: Bacterial small subunit ribosomal RNA
Source: RNAcentral
UGAGUAACACGUGGGCACCUGCCCUACAGACUGGGAUAACUCCGGGAAACCGGAGCUAAUACCGGGUAAUACAUAGCAUCGCAUGAUGCAACGUUGAAAGUUGGCCUUUGGCUAACACUGUAGGAUGGGCCCGCGGCGCAUUAGCUAGUUGGUAAGGUAACGGCUUACCAAGGCCACGAUGCGUAGCCGACCUGAGAGGGUGAUCGGCCACACUGGGACUGAGACACGGCCCAGACUCCUACGGGAGGCAGCAGUAGGGAAUCUUCCGCAAUGGACGAAAGUCUGACGGAGCAACGCCGCGUGAGUGACGAAGGCCUUCGGGUCGUAAAGCUCUGUUGUUAGGGAAGAACAAGUACCGUUCGAAUAGGGCGGUACCUUGACGGUACCUAACCAGAAAGCCACGGCUAACUACGUGCCAGCAGCCGCGGUAAUACGUAGGUGGCAAGCGUUGUCCGGAAUUAUUGGGCGUAAAGCGCGCGCAGGCGGUCUCUUAAGUCUGAUGUGAAAGCCCACGGCUCAUCCGUGGAGGGCCAUUGGAAACUGGGGGACUUGAGUGCAGAAGAGGAAGUGGAAUUCCACGUGUAGCGGUGAAAUGCGUAGAUAUGUGGAGGAACACCAGUGGCGAAGGCGGCUCUCUGGUCUGUAAUGACGCUGAGGCGCGAAACGUGGGGAGCAAAAGAUUAGAUACCCUGGUAGUCCCGCCGUAACGAUGAGUGCUAGUGUUGGGGGUUCCCGCUCAGGCUGAAUUAAACAUAAAGCAUCCCCUGGGGAGACAACCUCAGGUUAAACUCAAGGAAUUGACGGGGCCCCACAAACAUGUACAUGUGUUUAAUUCAAGCACGCGAAAAACUUACAGGUUUGAAUCUUUGCAAUCUAAAGAUAGACUUUCCCUUCGGGGACAAAUCACAGUGUGCAUGAUGUCUCCCUCGAUCUGAAUGUUGGUUAAUCC